UCAGCCAGAGGCAGGGCUCAGCCGGGUUCCACACCAGCCUGGCUCCCUGUCCCCAGGCACCGGCUGAGGCCUCGAAGAAGGAAGCUGUUUCCUGCUGUUCUGCUGCCAGAAGGAGCCAGGACAUCCCCCCACAGCCCCCCGGGAACUGGGUGCUGGGAGUGUCCACUCUGAGCCAGGCAGCUGGAUGCACAGGUCCAAGCAUAGAGACUCUGUCAAAGCCACGCAGUUUCGACAAGACUUAAGGAAUGCAGAGCUGCGGUCCUUACCCCAAAUGCCAGCAUACCCACUGCGUGAAUUCCACAAUGCAUCUGACGAAUGCCACUGAUGAACCUGUCUGCAGGCAGCA
Molecule: long non-coding RNA, 346 nt
Organism: Capra hircus (goat)
Lineage: Eukaryota; Metazoa; Chordata; Mammalia; Artiodactyla; Bovidae
Exons: 3
Source: RefSeq, a predicted model, not a curated record